CUAAGGAAAAGCCGGCCCGUCCGAUCGGGCCGCGGACACGACGAAGCCGCCGCCGGCGCAUCCCUUCUCGACAGCCAAUCCAAGAUGAACCGGGCAUUUCAAAGUGCCCGUUCAUGAUGGCUGCCGGGAAGUGGUAAGGCGUUGCUUUCGAAGCGACGCGGAUCUUUGAAAAUCGUGAAUAAAGUCGAGAAUAGUGACCGAGGAUGCAUCUUCAUGAGCGUCCGGGCACAAGGGGCGGUUUGUCCCUGUGCGCGACGUUCGCGAGAAGG
This 269-nucleotide unclassified non-coding RNA is filed under the name Azospirillum brasilense. Its description in RNAcentral is "16S-23S intergenic spacer". The record is from RNAcentral. Lineage: Bacteria; Pseudomonadati; Pseudomonadota; Alphaproteobacteria; Rhodospirillales; Azospirillaceae.